GAGUAAACCAGUGCCGGUGAAAGGGCUAGGGAAGAGCAACGCCGGAGGCUGCAGGAGGGGACGGGGUGGGUUGACGAAGGGCGCUUUCGUUGCUUGGGUAGUAGUAGUUUAGGCCGCUGGCUAGGCAGUAGGAGGAGGAGCGCCAGCGUCGCGGUAAUUUUAAGGAGGGUGAGGGUAAGGGGGCGGAGGGCAUAGGGCGUCGAUGUCGAUCGACCUCCUAAAACGCAGGUGCGGACGGGGUGAGGAGCGGGUCAGGGUCAGGGUCAGGGGAAGUGAAGGUGCGCUUCUUCUAAAAUAUAAGGACGUAUUAGGGGGUCCGCUAGCCUAAAGGGUACAACCUUCGAACGCGCCUCAUCAAAGAGGUAAAAGUUAACCCAAAAAUAACGAAACGAAGAAGAAAGGGGGUGCGAAGGAGGAGGAGCUGCGCUCCGGCACUAGCCCUAGCACGCUGGUGACACGGAUAAAUCCAGCGGCCCUAGCGACCAGGCCAUCGGCCGCGGCGAGCUUUAACCUAGGAAAAUGGAGCCAAAGCACAGCGGCGCUCCGAGGCAGCAAGUAACCGAACAGGCGAAUGAUAUAGAGCGCAUUUCUAGUCAAAACCGAAACGACGGCCCUCACCCAACCAGUUGUGCUAAACCCCUAAAAAUGUCAGCUUGUUUCCAACGAAGACGACUAUUAGGCUCGAGCGAAAAAGAUGGCUCGAGUCAAGCUCUAACUUUAGCUCGACCUCAAAAGGUAAAAGACUGGAGCGGCCUCAGCGGCUCACUGAAGUAAAGUCAGCAGUUACCUCCUCAGGCCCCUCCGCUCGUAGCCCGGGAAGUCCUAGCCGGGCAGCUGCGAGGAGCCGGCACCGCGGCGCGAGGCGCACGAGGACGAGUCGAGCGAGACCGCGGACGCCCGGGCCCGCGCGCGGCGCUGCUCGCGGCGCGAGACCGCACGCGCGCCCCGGCGCGACGGGUACCGCCGCAGGACCGACGUGGAGUCCUUGUGGGUGCCGCAGGAGGAGCGCCAGCACGAGGAGCCCGACGAGGAGUCCUUCGAGAGGCCCCGCGCGAGCGCCGACCGCGACCGCGCGGCCGCAGUCGAGACGUUCUCGCGCUACGCCAUGCGCCCCUGGAUGCUCCUCACCCACGCGCGGCGGUUCCACGAGCUGUCUUACUGGCUGGUCCAGUUACUCAGCCUGAAGAUGCUGCAACUCAACUAGCCCUCGUCCGAGCUGCUCGAGGCCGCAGCCUCCCUCCUCCCCAGCGAGGCCCUGCACCACAAGACGUACGCGCCGCUAGAGCAGUCCUUGAACCCCUUGUACACAUUAGGACUCGACGUGUUUCCGUCCAACCUCCACGGAUCCGAUUAUUUUCUAAAGUAACUGCUCCAAAGCUGAGUUGACUUUUACCACACACUUAGACUAUGUCUACUUAAUGAAAACCUUCUCUUCGAACGGAAACAAGUCCUUUGGUCUGUACGGAAACCUUCCUGACGCGAUGAGAAUUCACCCCCACGAAGUGACCCCAGUAAGGUACAUCCACAUCACUUUUGAAACCAACUCGUAUUCGAAGAAGGAGCCUAUCACCGUCCUAGCUCACACCCAAGGUAAUAUACGAGUUAACAGCGAUGGGCCUGUACCGGACUCUAACUCUCGAAGAAGUAUCUGAGUGAUGUCUAGAAUUUCAAGAAACUAUCCUAUCCACCUCAAAAACGACAAUGUUUUGCCCAAUACUGAAUACCACGUGAAGUACUGUAAUCGGUCUACGUUUCCGAAAACUCCCUAGAGUGUUCAUUGAAUUGUAAAGUUCUCCGAAUGCUGUAUUGACCGGCACAAGAACCCCAGUGACAAACGAGAGGAUCUUUCUUACUCGGUGGAGCGACGGAGUUGAUGGACUGUAGUGGUGUACAACAGUAAACCUCACGACAUUGACGGAGAACACGUAAGGGCCCGGAGAAACUUCGAGUCCUCGACUACCGUUUCCUAUCUAAACCGGUGUAUCAAGGGAAGGUACGAGGGAAACGGUGUCUAGGUCUUGUUCCAGGACCUCGUAGGUUUGCGGCCACCUCCCUGCCUUCAGACCUCUACCUAAACGGUUACUACGUUGACUUCCUCAACAAGUUACAUUUAGUAAAGUAACACUCGGUUUGAUUAGGAGUGUAGAGAGGUGAGGAGGCUUACUUCCUCUAGCAGUCUCGGAUACCUCCGGCGAAACGGCCUUUCGAACGAGCAGAACGACUCUACCUCCACUUCAUAGCUACAUUAGUUCAAGACCUUUAACCGGAGGGUGACCCUCCUGAACGUUUCAACAAACGAGUCCUAACCCUUCCACUACAGUGGUACCAAUACGGUCGUUGUCAUCGAGUCAUGAACUUCUAAUAUGUUUUGGGCUGUAUAGGUCUCGAGGUUUACCGACGGUUGGUCCCAGCGUCCACGUGUACCCUCUUCUAGAGACGCUAGUCUCGUUUGACACGUUAACUUGAACGUAACCUACUUAGGUAUCGUCGGGAGUUGGUGUUUGCUUCCGAUUCUUCUUCGUAACUUUCCCGUCGUCGAAGAAGGGUCCCUAUAUGGCUGUUACAAGCUCAGUUUUGUGGUUCCUCCCAUGGUAGUACCUCGACGUAUUCAGCUCUCUUAAGUAGUCCUAGAGAGAGUCUUCUAGUGAAGCGCCGGCGGUAAAGUAGGUUAGUGGUUCCAUGAUAAGCUCAACUACCACGUGGUUCGUGCAGAGUAGUACAAGCAGUAUCCAGUGUACUGCCUUCACUCUCGCUUAGUCUCUGGUAGCUGGAUUUAAGUACCUGGUCCUCACCGCCCGGGGACUACUCCUGAAGUAGUCGACUGGUCAAGUAGUUGAAAUAGGUCUUAGAGCUCUAACUCAGGCUCAAACUACCCCAAGUAUGUUAUCUCCCACCGUUACGUCCAUAAAAGUGUCCUGGGUGUAAAGGAUCUCUAGGUAUAGGUUGGUUGUAAAGGUCUCGAUGAUGUGGUCUGCCGGGUCUAUCUACGUGUCUCCAAAGACUUUGUCUCAGUACGUUGUCAUGAUCGUUGCAUUCGUAGCGACACAGACUUCCUCUAGACGACGUUGGACCCUCCUGAUGGUUGCCCUAAGAUGAAUUAAAACAGUCUUCUCUUCUAGACUAACGAGCCGUAUUGCCGCUACGACUGCACCGGCUCUCGAGGAAUGGAGUUCGUAUACACCUGUCUUGUGUAAGUCUUAGCCCACUGCGGUAGAGUCGACGAAGACUGUCGAGACUUCUAUUGUUUCUACACCGACUGAGCCUGUUAGGGAGCCAAAGAGUAUGUCUAAAACAUUGAGGCGGAGUUGGGAGACAACUGCUAUUGCUUCUACGAUUCGAUCUAAAAUUUAUUAAGAAUUACCAAACCACGUCGUUGUUACUACAUGCAUAUACUAUUAACGUCACAGAUAAAUCUCUCGUGACGACUGUCGUCGUAUAGACAACACACUUCAUCUACUAACCAUGACUACUAUGUAACUAUCUUCGGAAAGAACCGCAGCUGUAUUUACCUUAAGUCACAAACAACAUGGUGUCCGAGAUGGACCAGUUCUAAGAAGACUUGAUUUG
Molecule: ribosomal RNA, 3567 nt
Filed under: Triticum aestivum (bread wheat)
Lineage: Eukaryota; Viridiplantae; Streptophyta; Magnoliopsida; Poales; Poaceae
Description: partial small subunit ribosomal RNA
Source: RNAcentral